UUAUGGCCAUAUUGCCCUAAAGAACCGGUUCCCAUACCAUCACUGAAGUUAGGAAACGUUAAGCCUGGUCAGUACCUAGAUGGGUGACGACUUGGGAAUACCAGAUGAUGCAAG
Non-coding RNA from Acanthosepion pharaonis, 114 nucleotides. The record is from the annotation of a GenBank genome assembly. NCBI's taxonomy places the organism in Eukaryota, Metazoa, Mollusca, Cephalopoda, Sepiida, Sepiidae.